UAGUGAUAUCUACGGAUUUUACCCCUACACCACUAAUUCCAUCUCCCCCUCCCAUACUCUAGUCUAGCAGUUUCAAAUGCAGUUCAAUGGUUGAGCCAUUGGAUUUCACAUCCGACUUGCUAAACAGCCUACGCGUCCUUUACGCCCAGUGAUUCCGAGUAACGCUUGCACCCUCCGUAUUACCGCGGCUGCUGGCACGGAGUUAGCCGGUGCUUAUUCAUAUGCUACCGUCAUUUUCUUGACAUAUAAAAGGAGUUUACACACCGAAAUGCGUCAUCCUCCAUGCGGCGUUGCUGCAUCAGGCUUUCGCCCAUUGUGCAAUAUUCCUCACUGCUGCCUCCCGUAGGAGUCUGGUCCGUGUCUCAGUACCAGUGUGGCGGAUCAUCCUCUCAGAACCGCUACCCGUCAUUGCCUUGGUGAGCCAUUACCUCACCAACUAGCUGAUAGGAUAUAGUCUGAUCCCAAAGCGAAAAGACAUUUCCCUUCUUACCUUAUGAUAAGAAGGUGUAUCUAGUAUUAAUCACCGUUUCCAGUGGCUAUCCCAGUCUUUGGGGUACAUUAACUAUAGUUUACUCACCCGUGCGCC
Molecule: ribosomal RNA, 586 nt
Filed under: uncultured bacterium
Lineage: Bacteria
Description: partial 16S ribosomal RNA
Source: RNAcentral